Molecule: small RNA, 123 nt
Filed under: Mytilus galloprovincialis (Mediterranean mussel)
Lineage: Eukaryota; Metazoa; Mollusca; Bivalvia; Mytilida; Mytilidae
Source: RNAcentral
AAUAGAAGGCGAGACAUUUCAGCGUGUGCACUCUUGUUCCUCAUAGUUCAGUAUUUUUGUAAUGGUCAAUCAAAACAACACUUUAAACAAGAGUGCACACGCUGAAAUGUCUCGCCUUCUAUA